GAGCCCCGCCCCGGAGCACAGGGUCGAGUCCCUCCUUUCCGCUCCAACGCACGGAGGGUGAGGUCGGUGCGCGGUGGCGUCACGGCGCCAGCUCCUCCCGACGCCGAGGUGGGUUCCGGGAGACCCGCGGGUCUGGCUGCGAGAGAUUUGGUAACUCGAGGCGUCCCUGGAGUACACUGAGGAUAAGUGUUUGAGAAAUGCUGUCUGAAGGAAUGAAGUCAGUCUAUGACAACGUCUCUCUGCCGUGAAUCAUUCCUGCAGAUGAAAAAGUGUGACUUGGCAGCUGCCAAUCUAAAAAGGGCCCUCAGGAUCGCCCACAAUGCCCAGCUUAGCUUCUUGACAAACACCUUAAUGGCGCAGCAUUGCCUGUUGGCUGCCAUCGGCUCUUGAGUGGGUGACAAGAAUGAAGAUAUACUGGAGGCCAUGAUCACAAUGAAAGAAUAUUUUGAUUUGGGAAUACGUUGGUGCUUCUUAGUAGGUCACUCUCUUACCCCUCCAAUCAUUCGGGGUCAAUCUUCCUUGACUACAGUUUCAAACCAAAGACUGUUCUCCAUCUCCUCAGCACAAACCACUAAAACCAGUCUCAAGGGCAGGAAUCCAUAAGUCCUGGGUCUAGGAGUCACACUCUGUUACUUAUUCAUGUGGCCUGUGAUAAUUGACUUGUCUCUUUCAUCCUGUUCUGAUCUUCCUCAGAAUCAAGUUGGAAACUAGGAAGGCCAGAAAAGUAUUUGAGGAGCAUUCUACUCAGCAAAUAAGAGAAGUGGUGCUUUUAAUAAAUCAAAUGAAGGAAGCCAGUUAGAGAAUCAGUGGGACCUCUUGAUGUGUAAGAUAAAAAAGAAAGACUAAAGAAAGCAUAGGAUCCUGUUUGUUGAGCUUCAAGGGGUCCGGGGUUGGGGGGUGUGGAGAAAAAGAAAGCAAAGGAGAAGAUAGACUGAAUAAAAAAAAUUUUUGGCUUGGUAAUGAAAGAUCAUAGAUACGAAAUGAAAAAUCAAUGAUAAUGAAAAAUGCUUUCAAUUUAGAAAUCAGGAGAACUAGGAAAAGUUCUACAGUAGUUCUGAAUCAUCUACUAUCACGUUCUGUGCCCUUGGGCAACUCAAUUAAAGAAGUAUCUAGUAAGUGCUGUAGUAGGUACUGGGUGAUCUCUAAGGUCACGGUUAUCUCUCAAUUUCUUUCUAUUGAUGCCACUACCAUUAGAUGACUAUCUAAAGAGUUCUGAAGGAACUCAAGGGUGAGCUUGUGGAACCACUGCCAAAAGGAAUAGCCUUGAUUUCUACCGAAGGAAGUACAAGUUGGCAAUGAGUCCCAUCUCUAAGAAGGGUUUUAGAAGGGGGCUUGGAGCCCCAUGCCCAUGAGUGCCUAUUUCAGAUCCAUGUAACUUUUUGAGAUAAAGGAUAAAGAGUAGAAUCAUUGAUUGCUCAUUGAAUACUUAAUGAUGAGCAUUGAGAAUCAGGGAUUUUGUUCAAUGUAAAAAAAUAAAACAUUUUGGUUGAGAAAGCCUUGCCUAAGAACCAACCUUCCUCUCCCCAAAAAUAAUGUUUAACUAUUAAAAAAUAAAUAGGGCUGGGCACGGUGGCUCACACCUAUAAUCCCAGCACUUUGGGAGGCUGAGGAAGGCGGAUCACUUGAGGUCACAAGUUUGAGACCAGCCUGGCCAAUACGGCGAAAACCCUUCUCUACUAAAAACACAAAAAUUCACCGGGCGUGGUGGUGCAUGCCUGUAAUCCCAGUUACUCAGGAGGCUGAGGCAGGAGAAUCGCUUGAACCUGGGAGGCGGAGGUUGCAGUGAGCCGAGAUCACCCCACUGCACUCCAGCCUGGGCAACAGAACAAGACUCUGUCUCAAAAAUAAAUAAAUAAAAUAAAUAAAAAUAAGUAAAUAAAUAAAUGACAAACUGGCUGGGGCUGCCUUAAAAAUGUUUCCUGGAGAAGAGAGAAGAAAAUGACAACUAGAGAAAUCAGGGAAAGUUUAUUGGAGAAGCAGGGCUUGAGCUGAAACUUUAAGGAAAGGUUUCAAAUGAAUGGGUAGGGGUGCAGAAGUAACUAUGUGACAAUGUCCAGAGAAAUAUGGGCAGCCUGUCUAAGGGUAAAGGAGAGAUGAGCUUGUCGAGUAAAGAUGCAUUAUCAAUAAGCAGUGGGAAAUACGGCCUGCUAAUGGAGGGGCAGGGUGGAGUCAGACUCCAGAGGGCUUAAAAGACAGAAAGAGGAGUAAGCAAGAUUAUCUGCUGGCUUAAAAGCAACAAUAUUUCUAUAAGGUGUCAAUCAAGUGAUCCCCUAGUGUUCAGUGAAAGGAUAAUUAGGCACAAAUUAUUGAGAGAAGCAGUGGAUAUAAUUUGUCUAUCUUUCAGGAAGUUUUGGACAAUGUAUUAGACAUUUAAAAUGGAGUCAUUGUCAAAUUAAGGAUGAUGUUUUUGUCACUUAGAAAACAAUAGAUAGAUAUAAAUGGUCACUUCCGUGAAUGAAAGGGGAUUAAGAGUGCAAGGGGCCCCAAGAGACCAUGCUGGGACCUGUCUCACUUAAAUUUUUUAUAAGUGAUCCAGAAGAAAUAGAGCAAAGUGAAAAUUUCAAGACUUCAGAUCAUAUUAAGCCCUUUCAGACGGGUAAAUGCUAUGCCAAAAGAGAAGGAAGGAGGAAGAGGUGGAGGAAGGGAGAAAGAGAGAGUGAGCGAAUGCUUGAAGGAAGUUACUGAGUGCAAUGCAAGAUGGCAGACAAACGUCAAGGUGGAGAAAUGUAAGGUAAUGCACUCCGAUAAAAAUAAUCCACAUACAGGGUGUUGUGUUCCAGGCUAUCAGUUUUGACCCAGGAAAAGGCUCCGGGAGCUAUUAUAGAUUGUUCCCUAAAGGCAGUGGCCUAGUGUGUUGAGAUCAGGAAAGCUGACAGAGGGAAGGGGGAAGCAGGAUGGGACCAAGAGAGCAAAGAAGAAACCAACCUUCCUUUAUGCAAAACCGUAGGGUCCUGUAUCUGGAGACAAUGGUCAAGUUGACAUCUAUUGAAAAUUAGGGCCAAAAGGUAUCUAGAAAAGGACAACUAAAAUGACCCAGAGAAUGAGUGUGGCUAUUCUAGGGGUCUCGUGUCAUAGGGGGAAACUUAAGUUUAAAAAGACAAAGGCUAAGAGGUGGAAUAAUCAAAGCCUAUAAAACUGAUACAGGUAAGGACUAGCUUCCUCUUAAUGCUUGAAAUAUUGUAGGAAUAAAAAAGUUUCAGAGUUGAGAUUGUCUAGCUCUAUCUCUUUAUGUUAGACAUGGUGAAAUUCAAGCCUAGAGAGGGCAAGGAAAUGGCUCAAGGUCACACAAACCAAUGAGGGCCAAGGUCAGAUCAGAGCCCAGGCCUCCUUAAUCCCAGGCCAGGGUCUUUCCACCUCAUCCUGUGCACUCAGGCAGUCUAAAGCAAUCUUUCUUCUAGGGUAUAAACUUAGGAAAUGCAUUACUUUAACAUGUGAUAAAACACAUGUGAAAACACAAAGAGGCUAAGGAAAGUUUCCACAACAAGUCAACCAGCAAUUAUAAAAUCUUUGGAGGACAACUGCCAACUGGCACUAAAGGUUCUUUUACACACCAUAUCUUUUUUGUUGUUUUGUGGAACCUGUAACCCUUUGAGAGGCUGAAGAAAUCUAGGGGUCCUCGCCUAGAAAUACACACAUUUGCACUUACAAAUUUGUACGCAAUUUCAGUGCACGUAUGACCCCCUGAGCUCCAUGCCCAAUUAAGAAUAUCUCUUGAGGCAGAUUCUUCUAAACAAACAGACUGCCUGCUUCAACAAAUAUACUCCAUCUCUUAGGGUGGCUGAGGCUAUCACUCUGAUUUUCCUCAGCAAAACACCAUUGUCCCAACAUCAUUUAUUAGAAUAUUGAAGUCCUCUAGGUUGGAAGAUACUAGAGAAAUUAGUCCAACUGCACCCCCCAUGAGAUAUAGGAUAAGGUCAUGGGUAAAUAAGGGGAGACUAGAGUCAGCCUGCCUAGGUUAGAAUUCCAACUCCAUCACUCACUAGCUGUGUGACCUUGGGCAAGUUACUUAAGCUCUUUGAGUCUGUAUCCCCAUCUGUAAAAUGGGGAUAAUAAUUGCAGCUAUUUCAUAGAGUAGUUAUGAGGAUUGAAUUGGAUAAUUCGUAUAAAACAUAGCACCAGGCCUGGCACAUAGUGAGUGUUCAGUAAAUGCUAGCUGGCAUUAUUGUGAUGAUGAUGUAUGCAUCCAUGCAAGCAUUAUGCAUGCCUCCAUCCAAUCCCCUCCGAGAGCUUUUACUUGCACAUGCCAGUGAUGAGCAGCUCGCCGCCUCCUAAGCUGGUUGAGCAGCUCCAAUUGUUACAAACUUCUUCCUAUAUCGAGCCCAAAUUUGUCUUCUUGCAACCCCCACUCCCGCUGGCCCUAGUUCUGCCCUGUGGGGCCAAGGUAGAACAAGUCUAUCCUACCUCCACCUGACAGCCCUUCAGCUACGAAGACAGUGAUCGAGUCCUUCCUCCGCCCUCCCCCUCCCCCUUCUCCAGCUUGAACAUCCUUGGUUUCUUCUCCCAACCCACAACAGACUGGCUGCGCUUACUAUUUACUCCGAGGCGUUGUACGGUUUCCCUCACACAUAGUCAUGCAGGCCACACACCCCACUGCCAACACAACAAACCCGACCCUCGUGCUCGGCCCCCGCCCGCUGCCCCUGUCCGCGGUGCUGAAGCAGCUCCCGGCCUCGGCGGCCCUUGGCGAGGCCCUCCCCAGCCCCCGCCCUGGGCCGCGCCAGCCCGGACCCAAGGCGUGGACCCCCGGCGCGCCGCCUCCGCGACCUCGGCAGUAGGUGCGGCCCGGCCCAGGCCCGUCCCCGGUGCCGCCCCCCGCCCUGCCCGGAUGCCCCGAGCCCGC
Pan troglodytes (chimpanzee) is the source of this 4840-nucleotide RNA transcript. It is a transcript of the gene named MMP24 opposite strand, with no coding region annotated. NCBI's taxonomy places the organism in Eukaryota, Metazoa, Chordata, Mammalia, Primates, Hominidae. The transcript has 4 exons. The record is from RefSeq and is a predicted model, not a curated record.